Molecule: long non-coding RNA, 389 nt
Organism: Oenanthe melanoleuca
Lineage: Eukaryota; Metazoa; Chordata; Aves; Passeriformes; Muscicapidae
Exons: 3
Source: RefSeq, a predicted model, not a curated record
GUGUAGGGAAGGGAUCAGGGAUGAUUGUUUUUUUUCUUACAAGGAAUGCUGAUAUGAAACUGGUUAAGUUAGGAGACCUGAGAAACUCAAAGCAUGGGAAAACAUAAAAACAAAGCCAUCAACAGUGCCCCAAAACUGGAAUCUGUCUUCACCAGAGGCUGAUAGGUGAUGCCAAACAGAAGAACAAACAUCCUCAGGGGCCUGUGGAUGAUUCUGCCAACACCUUUGGAAGAAAAAAAACCAGGAAGACUUAAUGCAAAAUGCAUGGUUGUGUAAUGGAGAAGCCAGAAUAAACGACCACCAGGGAAAUGGAAGACAAAAAAUGCUUGGUUUUCCUCUGUGCUUCACUAACAACAUGCACCUAGGAACCAGGAUGUGAGGAUUAAGCC